AUUGAACGCUGGCGGCAGGCCUAACACAUGCAAGUCGAGCGGAUGAAGGGAGCUUGCUCCUGGAUUCAGCGGCGGACGGGUGAGUAAUGCCUAGGAAUCUGCCUGGUAGUGGGGGAUAACGUCCGGAAACGGGCGCUAAUACCGCAUACGUCCUGAGGGAGAAAGUGGGGGAUCUUCGGACCUCACGCUAUCAGAUGAGCCUAGGUCGGAUUAGCUAGUUGGUGGGGUAAAGGCCUACCAAGGCGACGAUCCGUAACUGGUCUGAGAGGAUGAUCAGUCACACUGGAACUGAGCCACGGUCCAGACUCCUACGGGAGGCAGCAGUGGGGAAUAUUGGACAAUGGGCGAAAGCCUGAUCCAGCCAUGCCGCGUGUGUGAAGAAGGUCUUCGGAUUGUAAAGCACUUUAAGUUGGGAGGAAGGGCAGUAAGUUAAUACCUUGAUGUUUUGACGUUACCAACAGAAUAAGCACCGGCUAACUUCGUG
This 484-nucleotide ribosomal RNA is filed under the name uncultured bacterium. RNAcentral's name for it is "partial 16S ribosomal RNA". It matches the Rfam family "Bacterial small subunit ribosomal RNA", at positions 30 to 507 of the family's 1533-position model. The record is from RNAcentral.